GAUGAAGAACGCAGCGAAAUGCGAUAAGUAAUGUGAAUUGCAGAAUUCAGUGAAUCAUCGAAUCUUUGAACGCACAUUGCGCCCCCUGGUAUUCCGGGGGGCAUGCCUGUCCGAGCGUCAUUACAACCCUCAAGCUCAGCUUGGUAUUGGGCCCCGCCGCUCCGGCGGGCCCUAAAGUCAGUGGCGGUGCCGUCCGGCCCCGAGCGUAGUAAUUCUUCUCGCUCUGGAGGUCCGGUCGUGUGCUCGCCAGCAACCCCCAAUUUUUUUCAGGUUGACCUCGGAUCAGGUAGGGAUACCCGCUGAACUUAAGCAUAUCAAUAAGCGGAGGA
Molecule: unclassified non-coding RNA, 329 nt
Filed under: soil metagenome
Description: partial contains 5.8S ribosomal RNA, internal transcribed spacer 2, and large subunit ribosomal RNA
Rfam family: 5.8S ribosomal RNA (bases 1-120)
Source: RNAcentral